AGCUUAGUGGUCAAAGCAUUGGUGCGUAAAGCCAAAGAGCCCGGGUUCGAUUCCCGG
Molecule: transfer RNA, 57 nt
Filed under: Agrilus planipennis (emerald ash borer)
Lineage: Eukaryota; Metazoa; Arthropoda; Insecta; Coleoptera; Buprestidae
Rfam family: tRNA
About the family: Transfer RNA (tRNA) molecules are approximately 80 nucleotides in length. Their secondary structure includes four short double-helical elements and three loops (D, anti-codon, and T loops). Further hydrogen bonds mediate the characteristic L-shaped molecular structure. tRNAs have two regions of fundamental functional importance: the anti-codon, which is responsible for specific mRNA codon recognition, and the 3' end, to which the tRNAs corresponding amino acid is attached (by aminoacyl-tRNA synthetases). tRNAs cope with the degeneracy of the genetic code in two manners: having more than one tRNA (with a specific anti-codon) for a particular amino acid; and 'wobble' base-pairing, i.e. permitting non-standard base-pairing at the 3rd anti-codon position.
Source: Rfam by way of RNAcentral